CCCUUAGAUGUUCUGGGCCGCACGCGCGCUACACUGAUGCAUUCAACGAGUCUAAAACCUGCUCUGAUAGGGGUGGGUAAUCUUUUGAAUGUGCAUCGUGAUUGGGAUAGAUGAUUGCAAUUUUUCAUCUUCAACGAGGAAUGCCUAGUAAACGCAAGUCAUCAGCUUGCAUUGAUUACGGCCCUGCCCUUUGUACACACCGCCCGUCGCUCCUACCGAUUGAAUGAUCCGAUGAAUAUCAUGGAUUGAGGAUGCAAGUAGGUUAGCCUAUCUUCAUCUUCGAGAAGUGAAGUAAAUCUUAUCAUUUAGAGGAAGGAGAAGUCGUAACA
RNAcentral lists this ribosomal RNA (329 nucleotides) under uncultured eukaryote. Its description in RNAcentral is "partial 18S ribosomal RNA". It matches the Rfam family "Eukaryotic small subunit ribosomal RNA", at positions 1470 to 1796 of the family's 1831-position model. The record is from RNAcentral.